This 440-nucleotide ribosomal RNA is filed under the name uncultured bacterium. RNAcentral's name for it is "partial 16S ribosomal RNA". It matches the Rfam family "Bacterial small subunit ribosomal RNA", at positions 338 to 795 of the family's 1533-position model. The record is from RNAcentral.
CCUACGGGAGGCAGCAGUGAGGAAUAUUGGUCAAUGGGGGAAACCCUGAUGCAGCGACGCCGCGUGAGUGAAGAAGUAUUUCGGUACGUAACGCUCUAUCAGCAGGGAAGAAAAUGACGGUACCUGGCUAAGAAGCCCCGGCUAACUACGUGCCAGCAGCCGCGGUAAUACGUAGGGGGCAAGCGUUAUCCGGAUUUACCGGGUGUAAAGGGAGCGUCGCCGGCAGCGCAAGUCUGUAGUGAAAUCACAUGGCUUAAACAUGGAACUGCUUUGGAUACUGUGCAGCUGGAGUGCAGGAGAGGUAAGCGGAAUUCCUAGUGUAGCGGUGAAAUGCGUAGAUAUUAGGAGGAACACCAGUGGCGAAGGCGGCUUACUGGACUGUAACUGACGUUGAGGCUCGAAAGCGUGGGGAGCAAACAGGAGUAGAUACCCGAGUAGUC